AAUUAAGUCGCUGAUUGAAAAAGGACUCAGGCCCAAAGAAUCCGGCCCUGAAAAGGCCGGCGUCGACGGUUCAACUCCGUCCCUGGCCA
This 89-nucleotide transfer RNA is filed under the name Terriglobia bacterium. RNAcentral describes it as "tRNA-Phe". Lineage: Bacteria; Pseudomonadati; Acidobacteriota; Terriglobia. The record is from RNAcentral.